AUCCAGCUGAUGAGUGCCGAAUAGGACGAAAUGUACGUCUAGCUGGAU
RNAcentral lists this non-coding RNA (48 nucleotides) under Schistosoma haematobium. Lineage: Eukaryota; Metazoa; Platyhelminthes; Trematoda; Strigeidida; Schistosomatidae. The record is from RNAcentral.